GGUGAACCUGCGGAAGGAUCAUUACAAAAAGGCCCAAAUAGCAUGCUUGUGCUCAUCAACUGCUAUUUGAACCUUUAUUCUACCUUGAUUUUUUGCGUACUCCUGUUUCCUUGGUGGGCUUGCCUGCCAGCUGGACAAAUCUAUAACCCUUUUAAUGUUUAAUCAGCGUCUGAGUAAAUUUAAUAAUUACAACUUUCAACAACGGAUCUCUUGGUUCUGGCAUCGAUGAAGAACGCAGCGAAAUGCGAUAAGUAGUGUGAAUUGCAGAAUUCAGUGAAUCAUCGAAUCUUUGAACGCACAUUGCGCCCCUUGGUAUUCCAUGGGGCAUGCCUGUUCGAGCGUCAUUUGUACUCUCAAGCUAUGCUUGGUGUUGGGCACUUGUCUCAGUUAAGCCUGCAGACAUGCCUUAAAUAUAUUGGCAGCCAGUAUUUUGGUUUGAAAUGUGCAGCACAGCGCCUCAAGCUAUUUAAUACAGGCAACCAUGAAGAAUUAUCACUCUUUUGACCUCGGAUCAGGUAGGGAUACCCGCUGAACUUAAGCAUAUCAAUAAGCGGAGGAAAAGAAACC
This 567-nucleotide ribosomal RNA is filed under the name Phaeosphaeria spartinicola. Its description in RNAcentral is "eukaryotic LSU rRNA". The stretch from base 191 to 344 matches the Rfam family "5.8S ribosomal RNA". Lineage: Eukaryota; Fungi; Ascomycota; Dothideomycetes; Pleosporales; Phaeosphaeriaceae. The record is from RNAcentral.